This 253-nucleotide ribosomal RNA is filed under the name uncultured bacterium. RNAcentral's name for it is "partial 16S ribosomal RNA". It matches the Rfam family "Bacterial small subunit ribosomal RNA", at positions 524 to 776 of the family's 1533-position model. The record is from RNAcentral.
GACGUAGGGCGCGAGCGUUGUCCGGAUUUAUUGGGCGUAAAGGGCUCGUAGGCGGUCUGUUGCGUCGGGAGUGAAAACUCAGGGCUUAACCCUGAGCCUGCUUCCGAUACGGGCAGACUAGAGGUAUGCAGGGGAGAACGGAAUUCCUGGUGUAGCGGUGAAAUGCGCAGAUAUCAGGAGGAACACCGAUGGCGAAGGCAGGUCUCUGGGCAUUAACUGACGCUGAGGAGCGAAAGCAUGGGGAGCGAACAGG